Molecule: ribosomal RNA, 587 nt
Filed under: uncultured bacterium
Lineage: Bacteria
Description: bacterial SSU rRNA
Rfam family: Bacterial small subunit ribosomal RNA
Source: RNAcentral
CCUACGGGAGGCAGCAGUAGGGAAUCUUCCACAAUGGACGAAAGUCUGAUGGAGCAACGCCGCGUGAGCGAUGAAGGCCUUCGGGUCGUAAAGCUCUGUUGUUAGGGAAGAACAAGUACCGGAGUAACUGCCGGUACCUUGACGGUACCUAACCAGAAAGCCACGGCUAACUACGUGCCAGCAGCCGCGGUAAUACGUAGGUGGCAAGCGUUGUCCGGAAUUAUUGGGCGUAAAGCGCGCGCAGGCGGUCCUUUAAGUCUGAUGUGAAAGCCCACGGCUCAACCGUGGAGGGUCAUUGGAAACUGGGGGACUUGAGUGCAGAAGAGGAAAGCGGAAUUCCACGUGUAGCGGUGAAAUGCGUAGAGAUGUGGAGGAACACCAGUGGCGAAGGCGGCUUUCUGGUCUGUAACUGACACUGAGGCGCGAAAGCGUGGGGAGCGAACAGGAUUAGAUACCCUGGUAGUCCACGCCGUAAACGAUGAGUGCUAAGUGUUAGAGGGUUUCCGCCCUUUAGUGCUGCAGCUAACGCAUUAAGCACUCCGCCUGGGGAGUACGGCCGCAAGGCUGAAACUCAAAGGAAUUGACGG